AGAGUGAAGUCCUCAAGUGAACUGAAUCUCCUGGGACUUUUCUAUGGUGAUGAAGCGUAACAGCGACUCAGAGAGCCCAGCAGCCCUCUCUCCAGUACCUCCUCCUCAGCUGCCAAUCUUUAUUGACCUCCCCCUGCUCUCUGGGAGAAACCAGUCUCCAUCACACAGCUGCUGCUAAGGCCCUUCAUGACCUAGCUUCCAAACAGCUCUUGGGGACCUUUGCACAGGACCUCUGCCUGAAAUCACCUCUCUCUUACUCCCUAAGCAGGAUAAUCACUACUCGGACUUUGAGGCUCCACGUGGCCAGACUUUCCACAGACCAUGGAGCAUACCAUCGAGUGGAUCCUCAAAAAAUGUUUUUUGAUGAAUGAGAGAUUGACUUUCUUUUGCUCUGCUGUCUCAGCCACACUACUGUUCCACCCCUGAAAAUCAUAAUUUAAAGUGCCUGUUGAUAAUUAUCAUUAUCAGUUUGACUUAAUUAAUCCUUUGUUGUCUCUAUCCUUGCCAAGCAAAAGCAAAAAUCUUUCUAUGCCAAAAUCCUUAGUUCAAAAGAAAUUAUAAUGUCAAACAAUGAAGGAAAGCAGUUAAAAGAAAUGAC
Bos taurus (domestic cattle) is the source of this 598-nucleotide long non-coding RNA. The record is from Ensembl. NCBI's taxonomy places the organism in Eukaryota, Metazoa, Chordata, Mammalia, Artiodactyla, Bovidae.